GCUGAUGAUGAUUUUGUCCAUGUUAGAGAUACUGGGGUUCCAAGUCCUUGUUUUACAAGGAGAACCUACUUGGAGUAGCCCUUGUAUUGCUAUGACCUUAUUGGAUAUUUAGU
RNAcentral lists this small nucleolar RNA (113 nucleotides) under Amborella trichopoda. RNAcentral describes it as "Small nucleolar RNA Z278". It matches the Rfam family "Small nucleolar RNA Z278". Rfam says of the family: snoZ278 is a C/D box small nucleolar RNA. Its methylation guide targets have not been reported. Lineage: Eukaryota; Viridiplantae; Streptophyta; Magnoliopsida; Amborellales; Amborellaceae. The record is from Rfam by way of RNAcentral.